AAUCAGCAGAUGAACAAUCUAUGCGAAUUUAACUCGAAGAAUCCAGUGAUGUUUUCCUGUUCCCUCAGAAUGAAAGUCACAAGGAGAUUCAAAUUCCUGGAGUGCUUGGGAGCCAAACCUCCAGAUCAGGUCCUCAAUGGUUUUUUGUGAUCCUGUUGCGGUUUGUAUAACUUCUGUAGAAAGCCUUGAAAAGGUAAAGAUAUCACAAAGCAUAUCACAACUAGAGGAUUGAUUGGACUCACUAUGAACAAGAAUCAGGACUUAUAAAAUUGAAAAGGUCACUGCAUUACUCUGUCGCAGUGAAAAAGGAAAAGCAAUGUGAGGAAUUAUUUAGGAGAGGAAGAACAAAACAGAAAACAUCAGCAAGCUACUCUAUAAUACUUUCAUGCACUGUGUCUUGAAAAUUGUGUGUAAUUCCAGUGCAAUGCUCUCAGAAGAUUGUAGUGGGAUUGAAAGUAGCACAGAGGAGAAUGACGGGGAUGAUCACAGAUUCGGGACAGACUGCACAAUGAAUGACUAACUAGACUUCUCUCUCUGAAUAGAGAGAGAGAGGAGUGUGGGAAAGCAGAGGUCUAUGAAAUUAUAUGUGGUAUAAAGAAGAUAAAGAGCAAAAGAAGGUACCUGGUGCCUGACACACCUUCAGAUCUCAGCAUCUGUAAUGCUGCAGGUCAGCUGUUUUCAGCUCUGCAACCUUUCACUUGAGUUGCCUGGGGUGCCAGAGCCCUGUCAGCAGAUCUUCCUUGCAUUCCUAUGCUUUUAUGACAGUGCUGAGGAUCUGCAUGGCCCUGCAGCUGCAGACCCUGGUGCUCAGUUUGAGAAGCAAACUGCCACUGGAUCCUUCCAUCUUGCCCAUGGUUAGAGGUGCUGAGGAAGACAUCAAAGACAGCAGGGUGCAAAGGAUUUGAUAUAGCCAUGAGUGAUCCGAGUCACCUGGAAAGUGCACAGUGUUUUGUGUUUGCACCAACCUUUAGGAAUACAAGGGCAAAGAAGACAUCAGGAUCUUGGCUUAUAUCCACGGAUUGGAAAAAUGUCCCAUGUAAUCCUAUUGACCUUCAACUAACAAAAUAUUCUGAUUUGUACACGACUUAUCAACUUAUUUCCUUGCCUUUGACCUUGGAAUCUCCAGAGAUUUUCACAACAACUUUUAAUUGUACACAACUGGGUUGACAAGACAGAAUUUGAUCUGACUGCUCUAUGCUAGAAGCCAGAUUUUCAUCUGCAUGAAGGCUAUUCCACAUCACAAAAGAUUAAAAAAAAAGAGAAGACCUUUAAGAAAGUGACUACACAUCUAUCACACUGAUACUCUCAAGCACGGUACCCUGGAAACUUAUUAUUUCUGAAAGAAGUUGGAGUAGAGAGCAUGAAUAUGGCCUGAGAAUUGAUCUUUAUACUAACGGAAUGUUUGAUGUGAUCAUAAACAAUACCUACA
Molecule: long non-coding RNA, 1429 nt
Filed under: Phasianus colchicus (ring-necked pheasant)
Lineage: Eukaryota; Metazoa; Chordata; Aves; Galliformes; Phasianidae
Description: lncRNA (ENSPCLG00000001118.1)
Source: RNAcentral